CCUACGGGUGGCAGCAGUCGAGAAUCAUUCACAAUGGGGGAAACCCUGAUGGUGCGACGCCGCGUGGGGGAAUGAAGGUCUUCGGAUUGUAAACCCCUGUCAUGUGGGAGCAAAUUAAAAAGAUAGUACCACAAGAGGAAGAGACGGCUAACUCUGUGCCAGCAGCCGCGGUAAUACAGAGGUCUCAAGCGUUGUUCGGAAUCACUGGGCGUAAAGCGUGCGUAGGCUGUUUCGUAAGUCGUGUGUGAAGGGCGCGGGCGCAACCCGCGGACGGCACAUGAUAUGGCGAGACUAGAGUAAUGGAGGGGGAACCGGAAUUCUCGGUGUAGCAGUGAAAUGCGUAGAUAUCGAGAGGAACACUCGUGGCGAAGGCGGGUUCCUGGACAUUAACUGACGCUGAGGCACGAAGGCCAGGGGAGCGAAAGGGAUUAGAUACCCCAGUAGUC
RNAcentral lists this ribosomal RNA (446 nucleotides) under uncultured bacterium. RNAcentral describes it as "partial 16S ribosomal RNA". It matches the Rfam family "Bacterial small subunit ribosomal RNA", at positions 338 to 795 of the family's 1533-position model. The record is from RNAcentral.